RNAcentral lists this ribosomal RNA (301 nucleotides) under uncultured bacterium. Its description in RNAcentral is "partial 16S ribosomal RNA". It matches the Rfam family "Bacterial small subunit ribosomal RNA", at positions 509 to 807 of the family's 1533-position model. The record is from RNAcentral.
CAGUAGCCGCGGUAAUACGAAGGGGGCUAGCGUUGUUCGGAAUUACUGGGCGUAAAGCGCACGUAGGCGGAUAUUUAAGUCAGGGGUGAAAUCCCAGAGCUCAACUCUGGAGCUGCCUUUGAUACUGGGUAUCUUGAGUAUGGAGGAGGUGAGUGGAAUUCCGAGUGUAGAGGUGAAAUUCGUAGAUAUUCGGAGGAACACCAGUGGCGAAGGCGGCUCACUGGUCCAUUACUGACGCUGAGGUGCGAAAGCGUGGGGAGCAAACAGGAUUAGAUACCCGAGUAGUCCCUGUCUCUUAUAC